ACGCUCGACACCUACGGGGGGCAGCAGUGGGGGAGUAUUGCACAAUGGGGGAAACCCGUAGAUGCAGCAACGCCGCGUGAGGGAAGAAGGUUUUCGGAUUGUAAACCUCUGUUCUUAGUGACGAUAAUGACGGUAGCUAAGGAGAAAGCUCCGGCUAACUACGUGCCAGCAGCCGCGGUAAUCUGAGCGGGCUGGCAAGGC
RNAcentral lists this ribosomal RNA (201 nucleotides) under uncultured bacterium. Its description in RNAcentral is "partial 16S ribosomal RNA". It matches the Rfam family "Bacterial small subunit ribosomal RNA", at positions 328 to 539 of the family's 1533-position model. The record is from RNAcentral.